This is a long non-coding RNA of Scylla paramamosain (green mud crab), 537 nucleotides long. RefSeq lists it as uncharacterized. Lineage: Eukaryota; Metazoa; Arthropoda; Malacostraca; Decapoda; Portunidae. The transcript is spliced from 2 exons. The record is from RefSeq and is a predicted model, not a curated record.
CACAGCCAAGCCUGCAAAUUAAAAAUGCUAGAUUCUCCUGGAGGGAUGGUUCCGCUUGGGAUCAGAUACAUUAAUCACAAGGUUUCCUGCAGGAUGGGAAGGAGCUUGAUAAAUCUGUGUAGCAUCAUUAUUAGUCCUCACCGCAGCGCCUCCCUCAGCCUGGAAAGCUACUUGUGUGAGGCUGCCGGGAUGGAAUAGUGAAGGGAAGCAGAACAAAACUUGAGAACAUACCAGAAAGGAACGUUCUAAGCCCGUGGAAGGAGGCGGGGGGGCACAUUCCAGACUCAUGCACUCACCUGGAUUAAGUUGCGCCAUCAUCUCGCCUCGGCGGAGUGUGUCAGGCCGCCCGCUGCCCAGCCUUUAUAUAGGAAGGGGCAGGAGGCGGGACCUGUGCACCAGCCACAAAACAGGACCCUCACUGUUGCCACGGAAGACUGGUUUUACCUGCGGUACCGUAUUGCUACUCACGGUGCAGGGCUGGAAUCAACAUACACUACAGUUGGUCUUCCUUCGUUCUUUUCGUCACACUUUGGAACC